CCUACGGGUGGCAGCAGUGGGGAAUAUUGCGCAAUGGGCGAAAGCCUGACGCAGCGACGCCGCGUGGGGAUGAAGCUUUUCGGAGUGUAAACCCCUUUCGACCCGGAAGCGGUACGGGUAUAAGAAGCCCCGGCUAACUACGUGCCAGCAGCCGCGGUAAUACGUAGGGGGCCAGCGUUGCUCGGAAUUACUGGGCGUAAAGGGUUCGUAGGCGGUGCGGCAAGUCGGAAGUGAAAUCCCUGGGCUCAACUCAGGGGCAGCUCCCGAAACUGCCGUGCUUGAGUGCGGGAGAGGCGAGUGGAAUUACAGGUGUAGCGGUGAAAUGCGUAGAUAUCUGUAGGAACACCCGUGGCGAAGGCGGCUCGCUGGACCGCACUGACGCUGAGGAACGAAAGCUAGGGGAGCAAACAGGAUUAGAUACCCUUGUAGUC
RNAcentral lists this ribosomal RNA (431 nucleotides) under uncultured bacterium. RNAcentral describes it as "partial 16S ribosomal RNA". It matches the Rfam family "Bacterial small subunit ribosomal RNA", at positions 338 to 795 of the family's 1533-position model. The record is from RNAcentral.